UGGGGAAUUGUUCACAAUGGGCGCAAGCCUGAUGACGCAACGCCGCGUGGGGGAUGAAGGUCUUCGGAUCGUAAACCCCUGUCGAAUGGGACGAAAGACUCGCGAGUGAAUACUUCGCGAGAGUGACGGUACCGUUAAAGGAAGCCACGGCUAACUCUGUGCCAGCAGCCGCGGUAAUACAGAGGUGGCAAGCGUUGUUCGGAAUUACUGGGCGUAAAGGGCGCGUAGGCGGCCCUCUAAGUCAGACGUGAAAUCCCCCGGCUUAACCUGGGAACUGCGUCUGAUACUGGAGGGCUUGAGUAUGGGAGAGGGAUGUAGAAUUCCAGGUGUAGCGGUGAAAUGCGUAGAUAUCUGGAGGAAUACCGGUGGCGAAGGCGGCAUCCUGGACCAUUACUGACGCUGAGGCGCGAAAGCUAGGGGAGCAAACGGGAUUAGAUACCCCCGUAGUCCCUGAGCGGGCUGGCAAGGCGC
This 471-nucleotide ribosomal RNA is filed under the name uncultured bacterium. Its description in RNAcentral is "bacterial SSU rRNA". It matches the Rfam family "Bacterial small subunit ribosomal RNA", at positions 355 to 823 of the family's 1533-position model. The record is from RNAcentral.